UACGUAGGGUGCGAGCGUUGUCCGGAAUUAUUGGGCGUAAAGAGCUUGUAGGCGGUUUGUCGCGUCUGCUGUGAAAAUCCGAGGCUCAACCUCGGACUUGCAGUGGGUACGGGCAGGCUAGAGUGUGGUAGGGGAGACUGGAAUUCCUGGUGUAGCGGUGGAAUGCGCAGAUAUCAGGAGGAACACCGAUGGCGAAGGCAGGUCUCUGGGCCACUACUGACGCUGAGAAGCGAAAGCAUGGGGAGCGAACAGG
Molecule: ribosomal RNA, 253 nt
Filed under: uncultured bacterium
Lineage: Bacteria
Description: partial 16S ribosomal RNA
Rfam family: Bacterial small subunit ribosomal RNA
Source: RNAcentral